RNAcentral lists this ribosomal RNA (22 nucleotides) under Bathyphantes gracilis. RNAcentral describes it as "partial 18S ribosomal RNA". Lineage: Eukaryota; Metazoa; Arthropoda; Arachnida; Araneae; Linyphiidae. The record is from RNAcentral.
CCUGCGGCUGGAUCAUUAUCGA